AGUCUGGGUCUGAGCUGAAACCUGCUGCAAGUCUGACGGUACCAAAUUACAUAUAUAUCUGUCAAAAUGAUGUAGGACCUAAAGUCUCUCUGUAAGUUGAUCCUUUUGACCCCAUGAUUAGGAGCUUCACAAUGUGGUACCACACCUGGAAACCUCCAGAACAAGAUCUCAAGGAAACACAGGAAAUUCCUGAAACAGCAAAACCCCCUAUGUGAAGACGUCUGUUAUUCCUUUGUGUAUCAGGAGCAUCACUGUUAAUUAACUGUUGAUACACUUAAAACAGCUUGGUUGGCAAUGUCCUUUUUGAAUAAAGAAGAGCCAGGUGUGUUUUUCAGGAUGAACUAGACAAUGCUGUCACAAGUUUACCUCUACAUCUUAUUGCCUUGGAAAAAUUUCCUGCAUAUCGUGGCACAAGAUGGUUGGCUCUCCAGGCAGCAGUUGGCGUUGUGAAUCAGUCAUCUCAGCAUGUGUCUCCAAGAUCCCACAGCAGGGGGAAAAAGAGGUGGAGGGUCACAUGCCUGGUGUUACAUACUUUGAGGCAGAGGUGGUAGGUGCCAUUUCUGCUCACAGCUCAUGGACCAGAACAAAGCCAUGCAUACCUGAGAGAGGACCAGAAAAUAUUCUGAAGCAGAUGGCUAUUUGGUGAGCAGUAAAUGUUUC
This 660-nucleotide long non-coding RNA is filed under the name Homo sapiens (human). RNAcentral's name for it is "non-protein coding LINC02587:13". The record is from RNAcentral. Lineage: Eukaryota; Metazoa; Chordata; Mammalia; Primates; Hominidae.